ACACACACAACGAGCUGCCUCCCCGACGGAAGUUUGUGGUUGCCUAGCAACGUCGUUGGUUGGUUUAUCAGUUCUCCGCUGGUCCAAUGCAGAGCGCUAUGGAAGGAAGGUACAGCCAAGUUGACGAAGACCCUGAGCCACAGGAAGGAGUGGCAUCAGAGGACAGGGCAGCGACUGACCCACCAGAGUGUGACUCACAGGAUCAGACAGGAUCAGAGCCUGAA
Hippoglossus stenolepis (Pacific halibut) is the source of this 224-nucleotide long non-coding RNA. RefSeq lists it as uncharacterized. The record is from RefSeq and is a predicted model, not a curated record. NCBI's taxonomy places the organism in Eukaryota, Metazoa, Chordata, Actinopteri, Pleuronectiformes, Pleuronectidae. The transcript is spliced from 3 exons.